RNAcentral lists this transfer RNA (72 nucleotides) under Acidimicrobiia bacterium. RNAcentral's name for it is "tRNA-Arg". It matches the Rfam family "tRNA". Rfam says of the family: Transfer RNA (tRNA) molecules are approximately 80 nucleotides in length. Their secondary structure includes four short double-helical elements and three loops (D, anti-codon, and T loops). The record is from RNAcentral. RNAcentral also lists the same sequence under 2 other names. Lineage: Bacteria; Bacillati; Actinomycetota; Acidimicrobiia.
GCCCUCGUAGCUCAGGGGAUAGAGCAACGGCCUCCGGAGCCGUGUGCGCAGGUUCGAAUCCUGCCGAGGGCG